UACCAGCACCCCGAGUGGUCGGGACGAUUAUUGGGCCUAAAGCAUCCGUAGCCGGUUCUACAAGUCUUCCGUUAAAUCCACCUGCUUAACAGAUGGGCUGCGGAGGAUACUAUGGAGCUAGGAGGCGGGAGAGGCAAGCGGUACUUAGUGGGUAGGGGUAAAAUGCGUAGAUAUCGGGAGGAACACCAGUGGCGAAGGCGGUGGUCUGGGCCGGCACUGACGCUGAGGAGCGAAAGCGUGGGUAGCAAACAGG
RNAcentral lists this ribosomal RNA (253 nucleotides) under uncultured bacterium. RNAcentral's name for it is "partial 16S ribosomal RNA". The stretch from base 27 to 253 matches the Rfam family "Bacterial small subunit ribosomal RNA", at positions 550 to 776 of the family's 1533-position model. The record is from RNAcentral.